GCUCGCAUGGCUUAGUUGGUAAAGCGCGUCACUAGUAAUGACGAGAUCCUGUGUUCGAAUCACAGUGUGAGCA
This is a non-coding RNA of Terfezia boudieri ATCC MYA-4762, 73 nucleotides long. Lineage: Eukaryota; Fungi; Ascomycota; Pezizomycetes; Pezizales; Pezizaceae. The record is from the annotation of a GenBank genome assembly.